UAAACUUUAAGAAAUCAAAUCUACUUUGCAUGUUGGAAACUAUUCUAGUUGCUUUACAUGACGUGCCUUCAGUAUAAUUCAUUUGAACAUCUGUUUCAAAUUAUGUUAUAACACUGACAACACUGAUUAUGUAGCAAUGUCUACAUCAUUACGUAUUUGAUGUCAUCUUUAUCUAACUCAGUGUGAUGUGUUGCUUUUCAGAGGAGCCUUGGAACGUAUACGUGCGACUGGUAGUGGGGAAACUUUGGAGACAAUCCACACUGAGGCUUUCCAGAGGCUAAUGGCUGCAUGUGAUACACUCAGAGAGUGCGCCAGUGGCUUUACUAAACUCGGCUAUAGACAACAGGCAGCAGAGGCACAUGGAGAGUGUGCGCAUGGUUUGAGAAUCCUAGCGAACCAUACUACUGAAAGAGAGUCGAAACAGAGCUUCCUGCUGAAUGGGCUCUCCCAGUUGCAGCUUGCUGUCACAGUGCAGGAACAUGCAGUACAGAAUGCUGAGAGUCUGCUCCACCCACAGGAGGAGAGACAUGGACUGUCACUGCCAGCCGCGCGGAGGCUGCUUGGCCUGCGGCUGGCCCUGGUUGAAUUCUGCCUGUCCAUGCUAGAGGAGCGUUGUGCCGAGGAGACGCUGCAGGCUUUGGCCCGGGAGAAGAUGACCUUAGCUGAAAUAGCGCUGGAGGAAUAUUCACGCUGCACACCUGAGCCUAACUCCAAAGAAGAGGUUAGACUGUGAGCAAACACUUUGACAUCAAAUGUGAGAUCUUUUUGUUGGAUUCAGAUGUAUUUGACAUGAGUUGAUGUGAUACAUUUUUAGAUUCUGCCAUACACCAA
RNAcentral lists this long non-coding RNA (831 nucleotides) under Oreochromis niloticus (Nile tilapia). RNAcentral's name for it is "lncRNA (ENSONIG00000029368.1)". Lineage: Eukaryota; Metazoa; Chordata; Actinopteri; Cichliformes; Cichlidae. The record is from RNAcentral.